UACGGAGGGUGCAAGCGUUAUCCGGAUUCACUGGGUUUAAAGGGUGCGUAGGUGGGUCUGUAAGUCAGUGGUGAAAUCUCCGGGCUUAACCCGGAAACUGCCAUUGAUACUAUAGGUCUUGAAUUUUCUGGAGGUUAGCGGAAUAUGUCAUGUAGCGGUGAAAUGCUUAGAUAUGACAUAGAACACCAAUUGCGAAGGCAGCUAACUGCAGGGAUAUUGACACUGAGGCACGAAAGCGUGGGGAUCAAACAGG
RNAcentral lists this ribosomal RNA (253 nucleotides) under uncultured bacterium. RNAcentral describes it as "partial 16S ribosomal RNA". It matches the Rfam family "Bacterial small subunit ribosomal RNA", at positions 524 to 776 of the family's 1533-position model. The record is from RNAcentral.